ACAGUACGGACUGAGCAGGCGACGAACAGUGGUGUUCGUGAGGCCGGGCCGCAAUGAAAGUGGCAGCAGAUAGUAUUUAAACAUCUGCGGGACAGUU
This 97-nucleotide non-coding RNA is filed under the name unclassified sequences. The record is from Rfam.